UAAAAAAAUAGUUCCUUGCAUUUUAUUUAUACGAAUAAAAAUAAUGGAGUACAAUUACAAAUAUUCUGCGCAGUCGACAAAUGGUUUCAAAACAGUUUCGGGAGAAGUUACCACAGUUGCAGAAUAUGGCAAUAAAAUUAUUCAAAGCCCGUUAACCCUUUCGGUCACUGUGUACACAUUUGUGUACAUCAAUUAUCGGUAUCCUUACAUAAAUUCAGAAAGUAUUUUAGCUGCUUGUUCAUUGUGUCCACAUUUGUGUACAUUAUAAUGUUACAUGUAGUAUAAGUAACACCCUCUAAGGGUUUUCUACAAAAGUUUAUUUCUCUAAUUCUAACAGCUGGCGGUCACUGAGGGUGUAACAUAUGCAACAUUAUCUGUUAGAUCUUCUUGGCAUUUUGUCUGUGGUGGAAAUAGUUUAGACAAAUUAGAAACAAAUUAAUAAAAUGUGGUUUUGUGAGUGCAAACAGUGAUACAGUUUUUUUUCGAAAGCACAUUUUUUUGCUCUUUAAAAACACGUACACAUUUGUGUACACUGUGAGUCAGGGGAGUAAAAUUAGAAGAUAAACUUAACAGUACUUUUUUCUUUUUCAUAAUAGUAGACAGUUGAGUAUUAUAGGAUCCUUAGGAUAGAGGUUUAUAAUGAGUCGAAAUCGCCCGCUAACAGAAAGAUAACUAUUCGAUUUCAUAGAUGCCGGAUUAUCAGACAUUGGACUUAGCGACGACGAAUUCAAUGAAGAUGUCUUUGAUUUUGAUCCUGAAGCUACACAACUUGUUACCAGUAUUUAUUAUAUAUCUUGAACGUAGCAUAUACAUGUUUUACCUUGUAAAAUUACUGAAAAUGCUAUUGAGUGAUGAUAAGGAAGAGGCUGAGCGGCCAGAACAACCGAAGAUGAACCUGUCAGCACAUCCGCGAAAACUCCACAAAAGUCGAAGAAUAACUCUCAAAUAGGGGUGUUGAUAAGAUGAAGUUUCUUAUUACCUUAUAUCGGACAUUUAUCAGAUUUGCUGCACUUCAGAGCCUAUAUUGCUCAGGUUCUAUUAUUGUAAUCUUAGCGGAAAAAAAACAUUCACUAAAAAGAGGGGGGCGUCCAACAGCUGAUAGUCCAGGUCCUUCAUCGCCCAAAACUUUAAAAGUAACACCAGAAAUUGAACCGAUAGCCGAAGUUCGUUUGGACAGACUAGACCAUUUACCAUCCAUUGAUGUAAAAGACUUUGUAUCUAGUUGUAAAGUGCCUGGGUGUAAAGGACGAUCAAGAAUUUCAUGUCAAAAAUGUAAUGUUCACCUGUGCUUCACAAAAAAAGCAACUGUUUUUCAAUAUAUACAAAUACAUACGAAUACAAAGUAA
Long non-coding RNA from Dendroctonus ponderosae (mountain pine beetle), 1346 nucleotides. RefSeq lists it as uncharacterized. The record is from RefSeq and is a predicted model, not a curated record. NCBI's taxonomy places the organism in Eukaryota, Metazoa, Arthropoda, Insecta, Coleoptera, Curculionidae. The transcript is spliced from 2 exons.